Molecule: non-coding RNA, 60 nt
Organism: Streptomyces atratus
Lineage: Bacteria; Bacillati; Actinomycetota; Actinomycetes; Kitasatosporales; Streptomycetaceae
Source: Rfam
GCCGGUCCUCGGUAGUGGCCCCCGGACUCAUCGACCCGGGUGCUUCGAUCGAAGACCGGC